Molecule: long non-coding RNA, 1451 nt
Filed under: Mytilus galloprovincialis (Mediterranean mussel)
Lineage: Eukaryota; Metazoa; Mollusca; Bivalvia; Mytilida; Mytilidae
Source: RNAcentral
GUUUUCUUUUUCAGUUUUAUUAAUUGUGAGCGUUCUUUUUCAGUGUUAUCAAUUGUGUGCUUUCUUUUUCAGAGCUAUUAAUUGUGUCCUUUCUUUUUUUGUUUUAUCAAUUGUGUGGUUUCUUUUUCAGUGUUAUCAAUUGUGUACUUUUCUUCAGCGUUAUCAACUGUGUGAUUUCUUUCUCAUUGCUAAUAAUUGUGAGCUUUGUUUCUUUUUAAAUCAUAUCAAUUGUGUGCUUUCUUUUUCAGUGUUAUUAAUUGUGUGCUUUCUUUUUCAGUGUUAUCAAUUGUGUGCUUUCUUUUUCAGUGUUAUCAAUUGUGUGGUUUCUUUUUCAGUGCUAUCAAUUGUGUGCUUUUUUCAGCGUUAUCAACUGUGUGAUUUCUUUUUCAUUGCUAAUAAUUGUGAGUUUUUUUCUCUUUCAAUCAUAUCAAUUGUCUGUUUUCUUUUUCAGUGUUAUUAAUUGUGUGCUUCCUUUUUCAGAUUUAUUAAUUGUGAGCUUUCUUUUUCAGUGUUAUCAAUUUUGUGCUUUCCUUUUCAGUGUUAUCAAUUGUGAGCUCUCUUUUUCAGUCUUACAAAUCGUUUCUUUUUCAGUGUUAUCAUUUGUGUGCUUUCUUUUUCAGUGAUAUUAAUUACAUCUAUACUACAUGUACUAGUUGUACAUCUAUCCUUCUCUGUCAUCUUUAAAUCGAAUAAUACAAAAUGCAGGAUAUUUCAACACGGGAACAAUUUUACAAAAAACUGUCGAGAAAUACCGGUAGAAAAUGCUCAUUACAUAAAUACUACCACAAAUAGUUUCAAUAACAAUGAAAAUAAAUACACCAGUAAUAUUUCAUAUUUGUGUCCUGUUUUUAGAUCAAGGUUUGGAAAUAACUUAUUUCAAUUUGCAUCCCAUUUUGGUGUUUCGAGAUCAAAGAAUAUGCGAUUAAUAGUAGGUGAAAAUACAGAAAUAAAUCGUGUAUUUAACAUUGACGGUUGAUGUACCGACCCAGACGUGAAAAUGUCAGACCAUUAAGCAGGAAAACAGUCGUCUGCUUACGACGAUAGUCUUUUAAGGUUUAACAAUUCUCAAAAUGUCAGACUAGUUAGUUGUCUACAGUCCUGGAAAUAUUUCUAUGAAUUUAGGAACGAACUAAGGAAACAAUUAACUUUUCGACGCCACAUUCAAAUCGAGGCUGAACGCAAUAUUAGGCAAAUUCUGCACAAGCUCAAUGGAGAAUCCAGAAAAAUGGUAACAUUAGUAGGCGUCCAUAUUCGACUAGGAGAUAUAUUCAUCAGUAGUCGUUUAAAACAAAAUGGUUUUGUUAUAGCAACACCAGAGUAUUUAUCCAAAUCUGUCAACUAUUUUCUGUCAAAAUAUAGAAAUGUUCUUUUUGUAGUAACUUCACAAAACAUGACUUGGGCUAAAGCUAACAUGCCCCUUCACGUGAAAAACAUGGUUCAAUAUAUUGAUA